CUUUCCCUCUUUCUUUCGGCCUAACACAUGCAAGUCGAACGGCAGCACAGUAAGAGCUUGCUCUUACGGGUGGCGAGUGGCGGAUGGGUGAGGAAUACAUCGGAAUCUACUUUUUCGUGGGGGAUAACGUAGGGAAACUUACGCUAAUACCGCAUACGACCUACGGGUGAAAGCAGGGGAUCUUCGGACCUUGCGCGAUUGAAUGAGCCGAUGUCGGAUUAGCUAGUUGGCGGGGUAAAGGCCCACCAAGGCGACGAUCCGUAGCUGGUCUGAGAGGAUGAUCAGCCACACUGGAACUGAGACACGGUCCAGACUCCUACGGGAGGCAGCAGUGGGGAAUAUUGGACAAUGGGCGCAAGCCUGAUCCAGCCAUACCGCGUGGGUGAAGAAGGCCUUCGGGUUGUAAAGCCCUUUUGUUGGGAAAGAAAAGCAGCAGGUUAAUACCCCGCUGUUCUGACGGUACCCAAAGAAUAAGCACCGGCUAACUUCGUG
Molecule: ribosomal RNA, 492 nt
Filed under: uncultured bacterium
Lineage: Bacteria
Description: partial 16S ribosomal RNA
Rfam family: Bacterial small subunit ribosomal RNA
Source: RNAcentral